AUAAACCGAGAAGGCUGAUUUUUAGAUGUUGUGUAGGGAGGGGGGGGGGGGGACUUAGAAAAGCUGAACUUGCAAUUGUCGACCAAGAUUUCAUAUGAGUUUUCUCUGCCAUCUUGUCCUUUUGCGAUAACUCGAGUCACCGUCGUGAUACGAAAACUGCGAUUUUAUACUUUAUUGUUAAUUUUUUUACGCUCUACAAUUUAGAUCAUAUGAAUUUUUCACCUACCGUUGAUCGUUGUUGAGAUAUCGACCGAUACAGGCAAGCUUUUCUAAUCCCCCUCCCCUGCACAGUAUUUAAAAAUCAGCUUUUUCGGUUCAUUCGCGUUUUUUUUGCCUUUUUUUCGAACAUAACGACUGCACAACGUUGAGUGCUGAGACCCUUGUUCAAGCGGACAUCUUAACAUGUUGCCAAAAGACCCAGAUGUGUGAAUAGUUGGGAGUCUUUUACCCCGAUUCUCGACCUGUUUAUCGGCGCUCCGCCUUGGCCUCCGUUCCUUCUCGUUAUUGCGCAAGACGUCGAGACUCGCGGAGGUUUCUUACAUUCCUUGUUCUGUCUUGCGGCAUUAAAGUACCUACAUGUGGAGUAUAAUACACUGGCGGGUAACAGUAAAUCUCAUUGUCAGAGUCAGCCAACGAGUGUAAACUAUGUUACGUCAUCUUGCUUCGAGGCGGUGCGCGGUGGUUCUUUAUACCUGAGGAGAAAUACUUUCAGAAGCUCGGAUCGAGACGUCUGCGUAGUUGCCGUAAUGACCAGUUUCACGACUCGACUCGUCAUUCAUCGUUAUACGUUGGUAGCGUGAACAUAAAUAUUUCUUAUCAUCUGAUUCAUACAGAAUAUUACCAGAAGACUAAGUGCCAUUCAACUUUAUAACACAGGUCUGCAAUAAAAUAUUUUAUUUCAGCUUCAUGGGAUGUUUUUGGUAAAUACCCAUCAUGUUUUCGAGUCGGCUGAACCCAAUAAUGACUACUAUUUUCCUCCGUCACGUACAGUAUGUGCGAAAAGUACAAGGUGUUUGCAUAAAAAAAAGCAUGCCAAUAAUGAAAAAAACCACCAUUUCAUUACAAUGAACCAAACAAUAUUUUGCACUAAAUUAAACCAAAAAUUUCUCUGUAUUUAUUCUUGGCUCUCACUCUAUUACUCUAUUAUAAGUAACAGUAUAAAAAACCUGUGCAGUUUGUUGGUUGCAGAUUUGUGUAAUCCAAUAAAUUACACCGGUUAA
This 1220-nucleotide long non-coding RNA is filed under the name Neodiprion pinetum (white pine sawfly). Its description in RNAcentral is "uncharacterized LOC124222962". Lineage: Eukaryota; Metazoa; Arthropoda; Insecta; Hymenoptera; Diprionidae. The record is from RNAcentral.